This 503-nucleotide ribosomal RNA is filed under the name uncultured bacterium. RNAcentral's name for it is "bacterial SSU rRNA". It matches the Rfam family "Bacterial small subunit ribosomal RNA", at positions 24 to 518 of the family's 1533-position model. The record is from RNAcentral.
UCAGGAUGAACGCUAGCUACAGGCUUAACACAUGCAAGUCGAGGGGCAGCAGGGCAAUAGCUGCUAUGUUGCUGGCGACCGGCGCACGGGUGAGUAACGCGUAUCCAACCUACCCCGCGGUCAGGGACAGCCCGGCGAAAGUCGGAUUAAUACCUGAUGCAGUCAGAAGAGGGCAUCUGAUUUUGACGAAAGAUUGAUCGCCUCGGGAUGGGGAUGCGUAGGAUUAGGCAGGCGGCGGGGUAACGGCCCACCGCGCCGACGAUCCUUAGGGGUUCUGAGAGGAAGGUCCCCCACACUGGUACUGAGACACGGACCAGACUCCUACGGGAGGCAGCAGUGAGGAAUAUUGGUCAAUGGGCGCGAGCCUGAACCAGCCAAGUAGCGUGCAGGAUGACGGCCCUAUGGGUUGUAAACUGCUUUUAUGCGGGGAUAAAGUGCGGCACGUGUGCCGUUUUGUAGGUACCGCAUGAAUAAGGACCGGCUAAUUCCGUGCCAGCCGCUGC